AAAAAUUCACAGGAAAAAAAAAUGCCUGGAAAAGGAAAAAAAAUGGGAGAAAAAAUGGGGGAAAACAAAAAUCCUGGAAAUAAAAAAUCUGGAAAAAAAAAUUCUUGGAAAAAGAAAAAAUUCCCAGAAGGAAAAAAUUCCAAUAAAAAAAAUUCCCAGGAAAAAAAAAAAGAGAAAAAUCCGGAAAUAAAUUAAAUAAAAAUCUUCAAAAUAAUUUUUUUUUAAGACAAAAAAAAUCGGAAAAAAUUCCAAAAAUUUGGAGGGAAAAGGGGGAAAAAAAGGGAAAAGAAAAAUAAAGAAAUUGGGAUUUUUUUGGGGAAUUUUUACCUUUUUUUUCCCUAAAACUGGAAAAAUUCCCAAUUUUCCUCAAAAAAACCUGGAAAAAUUCGCUUUUUCAUCCCCAAAGAAAGACAAAAAAUUCAGGGUUUUUUCUUCAAAAAUAAUUGGAAAAAUUCCCCUUUUUUUCCCUCAAAAAAACCUGGAAAAAAUCCGGUUUUUUUCCUCAAAAAAAAACCCGAAAAAUUCCCUUUUUUCCCCCAAAAAAAAAGCAGAAAAAUUCCCUUUUUUUCCUCAAAAAAAACCUGGAAAAAUUCGCUUUUUUCCCCCCCAGAAAAAGUAAAAAAUUCCUUUUUUUUCCCCCCCAAAAAAGCAGAAAAAAUCCGUUUUUUUCCCCAAAAUAAUCGGAAAAAAUCCCUUUUUUUCCCCAAGAAAAGACAGAAAAAUUCCCUUUUUUUCCCCCCCAAAAAAAUCGGAAAAAUUCCCUUUUUUCCCUCAAAAAAACCUGGAAAAAUUCGCUUUUUUCCCCCCAGAAAAAGAAAAAAAUCGCGCUUUUUUCCCCCAAAAAAUCGGAAAAAUUCCCUUUUUUCUCUCAAAAAAACCUGGAAAAAAUCCGGGUUUUUUUCUCAAAAAAACCAAAAAAAUUCCCUUUUUUCCCCCCCAAAAAAAGCAGAAAAAUUCCCUUUUUUAUCCCCGAAGAAAAACAAAAAAUUCAGGUUUUUUUGUUCAAAAAUAAUUGGAAAAAUUCCCUUUUUUCUCCUCAAAAAAACCUGGAAAAAAUCCGGUUUUUUUCCUCAAAAAAAAACCCGAAAAAUUCCCUUUUUUCCCCCCAAAAAAGCAGAAAAAUUCCCUUUUUUUCCCUCAAAAAAAUCGGAAAAAUUCCUUUUUUUCCCCAAAAAAAUCAGAAAAAAUUCCCUUUUUUUCCCUCAAAAAAACCUGGAAAAAUUCGCUUUUUUCCCCCCCAAAAAAUCUAAAAAAUUUCCUUUUUUUCCCCAAGAAAAAGUAGAAAAAUUCCCUUUUUUUCCUCAAAAAAAAACCCCAAAAAUUCCCUUUUUUUCCCCCAAAAAAAUCGGAAAAAAUCCCUUUUUUUCCCCCAAAAAAAUUCUAAAAAAUUCCUUUUUUUCCCCCCAAAAAACCCCAAAAAUUCCCUUUUUUUCCCAAAAAAAAAACCAGAAAAAUUCCCUUUUUUUCCUCAAAAAAACCUGGAAAAAAUCCGGUUUUUUUCUUCAAAAAAACCCAAAAAUUCCCUUUUUUUCCCCCAAAAAAAUCAGAAAAAUUUCCUUUUUUCCCCAAAAAAAAAUCGGAAAAAAUCCCUUUUUUUCCCCCCAAAAAAUCGGGAAAAUUCCUUCUUUUUCCCCAAAAAAAAGCAGAAAAAUUCCCUUUUUUUCCUCAAAAAAACCUGGAAAAAUUCCCUUUU
Molecule: long non-coding RNA, 1693 nt
Organism: Cyanistes caeruleus (blue tit)
Lineage: Eukaryota; Metazoa; Chordata; Aves; Passeriformes; Paridae
Source: Ensembl